AGCCAGGGCUGGGCUACCACGUAGGGGUGAAAACUCCUCCUCAGAGCGUCGUAUUAACCGUUUGGAAUGUUCCAUCGGCUGGCGUCCCCCGCCCGCCCGGGUGUGGUACCGCCCUGAGGUGAAAGGGAUUAUUUGGAACCAUCAAGCUGUGGAAUAGCUAGCCUGCGUAUCUAGCUGAAGGAUUCUAAUGGAGCCUACUGGAAUAUCUGCUGGGCUGCAACGUUGGUGAGAGAGAUCCUGUUUUACAAGCUCAGGUAUCACAGCUCUGACAAAUGAGUAAUCUUGAAAGAACUUGUCUUUGUCCCCCUCCCUUUUAUCCUUGAGGGAAAGAGCUUCAGUAACACCCUUGAGGCCACUGAGUUUAAAGACAGGAGGCAUCUGGUGCUGGUGAAAACACAUCUGAACACUUCCCUUUGGUCUGCCAUUAAAUAUCCUAGUACAACUGUUCUGAACAUCCCAUCCCACGCUGGAAUAGGAAGAGAAGUCCAGCCAGCCAUUUCCCCCGUGGCCAGCCGUAAGGAUCUUCCAGAAGUUAUCAACAUCCUUCCUGAAUUGUGGGCACCAGAAUUGGACACAGUAUAGCAGAAGCAGUUGUACCAGUGCAAAAUAUAAAGGCUCAAACCCUUGAGAAGCCUGGUAAUGUUUUAGGACAUUACUUUUGAUGGUUUUUCCUGCCCUUACAAUAAUAUUAUCAAACCCGCUGAAAUGACAGGCAUAUCGUAUACAGUGGAACCUCAGAGUUACGAACACCAGAAUUACGAACUGACUGGUGAACCACACACCUCACAACUGGAACCGGAAGUACACAAGCAGGCAACAACAGAGAUCAAAAAAAAAGGGGGGGCAAAAUACAGUACAUUACUGUGUUCAACAUAAACUACUAAAAAAAAAGGG
Chrysemys picta bellii (western painted turtle) is the source of this 894-nucleotide long non-coding RNA. RefSeq lists it as uncharacterized. Lineage: Eukaryota; Metazoa; Chordata; Testudines; Emydidae. The record is from RefSeq and is a predicted model, not a curated record.